This 261-nucleotide long non-coding RNA is filed under the name Trifolium pratense (red clover). RNAcentral describes it as "long non-coding RNA (TPRA_LNC006766)". Lineage: Eukaryota; Viridiplantae; Streptophyta; Magnoliopsida; Fabales; Fabaceae. The record is from RNAcentral.
UGCGUGAAAUAUGAGUAUUUGAGAAGAGGAAGAGACAAAUAGAAUAAGGGUAAAAAGGUAAUAUAAAAAAUAUGAAAUUCCAUUCCAUUGGAUACACCCCAAAUUAGGGGGAAUGAAAAAUUGGAGGAUUGAGUGGUAUACAAUGGAAUUGGUUCCAUUGGGUUCCAUUCCAUUCCAUCAGCUUUUUGCAAAUCCAAACAAUGGAAUUCAAUUAUUUACCUUUUCAUUCCAUUCCAUUCCACCAUAUACCACCAAUCCAAA